CAGCCGCCGCGGUAAUACGAAGGUCCCAAGCGUUGUUCGGAAUCACUGGGCGUAAAGGGAGCGUAGGCGGCGUGGUAAGUCAGAUGUGAAAUCCCGGGGCUCAACCCCGGAACUGCAUCCGAUACUGCCAUGCUUGGGGGUUGGAGAGGUAGCUGGAAUACUCGGUGUAGCAGUGGAAUGCGUGGAUAUCGAGAGGAACACUCGUGGCGAAGGCGAGCUACUGGACAACAUCUGACGCUGAGGCUCGAAGGCUAGGGUAGCGAAAGGGAUUAGAUACCCCAGUAGUCCCUGUCUCUUAUAC
Molecule: ribosomal RNA, 301 nt
Filed under: uncultured bacterium
Lineage: Bacteria
Description: partial 16S ribosomal RNA
Rfam family: Bacterial small subunit ribosomal RNA
Source: RNAcentral